RNAcentral lists this ribosomal RNA (910 nucleotides) under Roesleria subterranea. RNAcentral describes it as "LSU rRNA". It matches the Rfam family "Eukaryotic large subunit ribosomal RNA", at positions 38 to 964 of the family's 3401-position model. Lineage: Eukaryota; Fungi; Ascomycota; Leotiomycetes; Helotiales. The record is from RNAcentral.
GCAUAUCAAUAAGCGGAGGAAAAGAAACCAACAGGGAUUACCUCAGUAACGGCGAGUGAAGCGGUAACAGCUCAAAUUUGAAAUCUGGCCCUUUCAGGGUCCGAGUUGUAAUUUGUAGAAGAUGCUUCGGGUGUGGCUCCGGUCUAAGUUCCUUGGAACAGGACGUCAUAGAGGGUGAGAAUCCCGUAUGUGACUGGCUGCCUUCGCCCAUGUGAAGCUCUUUCGACGAGUCGAGUUGUUUGGGAAUGCAGCUCUAAAUGGGUGGUAUAUUUCAUCUAAAGCUAAAUAUUGGCCAGAGACCGAUAGCGCACAAGUAGAGUGAUCGAAAGAUGAAAAGCACUUUGGAAAGAGAGUUAAACAGUACGUGAAAUUGUUGAAAGGGAAGCGCUUGCAACCAGACUUGCACGCCGUCGAUCAUCCUGGGUUCUCCCUGGUGCACUCGGCGGCGUUCAGGCCAGCAUCGGUUUCGGUGGUUGGAUAAAGGCCUUGGGAAUGUGGCUCCUCUCGGGGAGUGUUAUAGCCCUCGGUGCAAUGCAGCCUACCGGGACCGAGGACCGCGCUUCGGCUAGGAUGCUGGCGUAAUGGUUGUAAGCGACCCGUCUUGAAACACGGACCAAGGAGUCUAACAUCUAUGCGAGUGUUUGGGUGUCAAACCCAUACGCGUAAUUAACGUGAACGGAGGUGAGAACCCUUUAGGGUGCAUCAUCGACCGAUCCUGAUGUCUUCGGAUGGAUUUGAGUAAGAGCAUAGCUGUUGGGACCCGAAAGAUGGUGAACUAUGCCUAAAUAGGGUGAAGCCAGAGGAAACUCUGGUGGAGGCUCGCAGCGGUUCUGACGUGCAAAUCGAUCGUCAAAUUUGGGUAUAGGGGCGAAAGACUAAUCGAACCAUCUAGUAGCUGGGUUCCUGCCGA